GCUUUUUUUCACCUGAAAGAAAGCUCAAAGGCGCUUUACAGCGUCACUGAUGGCUGGUCCCGCGGUGCAUUAGCCAGUUGGUGAGGUAACGGCUCACCAAAGCAACGAUGCAUAGCCAACCUGAGAGGGUGAUCGGCCACACUGGGACUGAGACACGGCCCAGACUCCUACGGGAGGCAGCAGUAGGGAAUCUUCGGCAAUGGACGCAAGUCUGACCGAGCAACGCCGCGUGAGUGAAGAAGGUUUUCGGAUCGUAAAGCUCUGUUGUCAGCAAAGAACAGGAGAAAGAGGAAAUGCUUUUUCUAUGACGGUAGCUGACCAGAAAGCCACGGCUAACUACGUGCCAGCAGCCGCGGUAAUACGUAGGUGGCAAGCGUUGUCCGGAUUUAUUGGGCGUAAAGCGAGCGCAGGCGGUGAUUUAAGUCUGAUGUGAAAGCCCCCAGCUCAACUGGGGAGGGUCAUUGGAAACUGGAUCACUUGAGUGCAGAAGAGGAGAGUGGAAUUCCAUGUGUAGCGGUGAAAUGCGUAGAUAUAUGGAGGAACACCAGUGGCGAAGGCGGCUCUCUGGUCUGUAACUGACGCUGAGACUCGAAAGCGUGGGUAGCAAACAGGAUUAGAUACCCUGGUAGUCCACGCCGUAAACGAUGAGUGCUAAGUGUUGGAGGGUUUCCGCCCUUCAGUGCUGCAGUUAACGCAUUAAGCACUCCGCCUGGGGAGUACGACCGCAAGGUUGAAACUCAAAGGAAUUGACGGGGGCCCGCACAAGCGGUGGAGCAUGUGGUUUAAUUCGAAGCAACGCGAAGAACCUUACCAGGUCUUGACAUCCUUUGACCGCCCUAGAGAUAGGGUUUCCCCUUCGGGGGCAAAGUGACAGGUGGUGCAUGGUUGUCGUCAGCUCGUGUCGUGAGAUGUUGGGUUAAGUCCCGUAACGAGCGCAACCCUUAUUGUUAGUUGCCAGCAUUGAGUUGGGCACUCUAGCAAGACUGCCGGUGACAAACCGGAGGAAGGCGGGGAUGACGUCAAAUCAUCAUGCCCCUUAUGACCUGGGCUACACACGUGCUACAAUGGGAAGUACAACGAGCAAGCCAAGCCGCAAGGCCUAGCGAAUCUCUGAAAGCUUCUCUCAGUUCGGAUUGCAGGCUGCAACUCGCCUGCAUGAAGCCGGAAUCGCUAGUAAUCG
Molecule: ribosomal RNA, 1180 nt
Filed under: Tetragenococcus halophilus
Lineage: Bacteria; Bacillati; Bacillota; Bacilli; Lactobacillales; Enterococcaceae
Description: bacterial SSU rRNA
Rfam family: Bacterial small subunit ribosomal RNA
Source: RNAcentral